RNAcentral lists this long non-coding RNA (732 nucleotides) under Triticum aestivum (bread wheat). Its description in RNAcentral is "long non-coding RNA (TAES_LNC005714)". Lineage: Eukaryota; Viridiplantae; Streptophyta; Magnoliopsida; Poales; Poaceae. The record is from RNAcentral.
UUUGCCUAAGCAAUAUAAUAGAACGACAAAUAUAUAGUUAAGAUGGUAACAUCAGUGACUCGAUGACCAUACAUUUAUAAUAGUAGCAAAAUAUCAUUGUGACAAUAUCUCUAACAACAAUAUAAUAGGUAUGACUCGAUGACCAUACAUCGAUGCCACAAAAUAACAUUGUGACAAUAUCAAUGACUCGAUGACCAUACAUCAAUAAUACUAGCAAAGAAAAAUGGGCCAAAGCAAUAUAAUAGAACAGACAACAAAUGUGGACGUAGAAAUUGUUUUCCUUGCCUUAGUUUGAAGAUAUGUCCCACAAUUCAAAUAUGCCAACAUACUUCUUCAUCUACAUCACACAAACAAAGUAGAAAUAAGUGGCAGUUGCAAUGUGGCAUGGACUGAAUGGACAAACAAAGUAGCAAUCAGUGGUAUGAACUGAUGGACAAUUGUACAAACAAUUACAAUUUAUACAAGAACAAAUCAACAAAGUAGCAAUCAAUCCGUGGCAGAUCAGUGGCUUCUAGCAGUGGAAAUUUAUCAAAAAAGCUUCAGAUUUGUUUAAAAGACAGAGGAAAUUUACCUUGGUAAUUUGUAGAUGGAUGCAGUACUGGAUGGAUUGGACAUUGGGUGGCUUCUCCUUCUAGCCUGUCGGCUGGCGGACUGAAGCGGUGACUGCCGACGGCGACGGAGGCCGGAGGAAGCCCGCAGCGGCGCUGCCCCGCAUGGACCACAGCCAUGGAG